AUGGCACAGCAGAGCUCUGUGUUUACCUUGGACAGCUCAGGCAGGCUGAGGGAAGCCAAGGGUUGCACAAGAACAGAGAUUCUUUGUGCCCUGGCAGGUCCCCUCUCCUCUCACCCUGCUGAUUUACAAACAUUCUUUCAAAGAAUGAAGGGCACUGCUGGCUCAGCCAGCCUGGGAUGCCACAGCCCGAGGAGGUGGCACCUGGAGCACCUCUGUGGGUUCCAAACUCUGCUUUGCUUGGGGACCUGCUCCGUGGUGGCCACGAGGCUCCCAGGACAGGAGGAACGGCCUCAGGCUUUGCAGGCUGGACAGCAGCAGGAAUUCCUGCAGGAAAAGGUGCCCAGGUGUUUGAAGCAGGAAUUCCUGCAAGGAAAGUGUGCCCAGGUGUUGGCAGCAGGAGUUCCUGCAAGGAAAAGGCGCUCCGGUGUUGGCAGCAGGAAUUCCUGCAGGAAAAGGUGCCCAGGUGUUGGCAGCAGGAAUUCCUGCAAGGAAAAGGUGCCCAGGUGUUGGCAGCAGAAAUUUCUGCAAGGAAAAGGUGCCCAGGUGUUGGCAGCAGGAAUUCCUGCAAGGAAAAGGUGCCCAGGGGGGCUGGGAGUCCCCAGGCCCGGAGGUGGCACAAGCUGGGGAUGGGCACAGGUUGGGCUGGGAGAGCUUUUCCAGCCUCAGUGACCCCGGGAUGCACCAGAGAAGGAAAUCCAUCACACCAGUGGUGAGCACAGGUGAAGCCCAAGUCACCCCCUUCUUGGUCUGGAAAUGUGCAACCUCAGGGUGGAAACUUUGGGAAAGUUAAUGAAGGAAAAAAAAACCCUCUAGAGCUUGAAAAACUCACAUUUGUGUUUGUGAGAACUCACUUCUAAGGCGAGCUGCCAGCUGGAAGCAUCAGUCUCUGUGCUAGGAGGGCUCAGUCCUGGUUUUGAUGCAUUUCUUUAAUAUCUCUCAGACAUUCAAAAGCACUCUUACGUCACCAGGAAUUUCUUUUGUAUCACAUUAUUUAAUAAAAACCUGCUGAAGACAUCA
Molecule: long non-coding RNA, 1017 nt
Filed under: Lonchura striata (white-rumped munia)
Lineage: Eukaryota; Metazoa; Chordata; Aves; Passeriformes; Estrildidae
Description: domestica (Bengalese finch) lncRNA (ENSLSDG00000002740.1)
Source: RNAcentral